GAUGAACGCUGGCGGCGUGCCUAAUACAUGCAAGUCGAGCGAACAGACGAGGAGCUUGCUCCUCUGACGUUAGCGGCGGACGGGUGAGUAACACGUGGAUAACCUACCUAUAAGACUGGGAUAACUUCGGGAAACCGGGGCUAAUACCGGAUAAUAUAUUGAACCGCAUGGUUCAAUAGUGAAAGACGGUUUUGCUGUCACUUAUAGAUGGAUCCGCGCCGCAUUAGCUAGUUGGUAAGGUAACGGCUUACCAAGGCAACGAUGCGUAGCCGACCUGAGAGGGUGAUCGGCCACACUGGAACUUAGACACGGUCCAGACUCCUACGGGAGGCAGCAGUAGGGAAUCUUCCGCAAUGGGCGAAAGCUUGACGGAGCAACGCCGCGUGAGUGAUGAAGGUCUUCGGAUCGUAAAACUCUGUUAUUAGGAAAGAACAAAUGUGUAAGUAACUAUGCACGUCUUGACGGUACCUAAUCAGAAAGCCACGGCUAACUACGUG
This 497-nucleotide ribosomal RNA is filed under the name uncultured bacterium. RNAcentral describes it as "partial 16S ribosomal RNA". It matches the Rfam family "Bacterial small subunit ribosomal RNA", at positions 28 to 507 of the family's 1533-position model. The record is from RNAcentral.